CGGUAGAUUUGGUAGCAAUACUGAAUUGAGAGUGACGUAAGGGUGCGUAACACGUAUGCAAUCUGCCCUCAACAGGAGUAUAGCUCGGGGAAACUCGGAUUAACCCUCCAUAAGAUCACACGAAGGCAUCUGAGAGUGAUUAAAACGCAAGUGGUUGAGGAUGAGCAUGCGCAUGAUUAGUUAGUUGGUAGGGUAACGGCCUACCAAGACGAUGAUCAUUAGGGGAACUGAGAGGACGACCAGCCACACUGGAACUGAGACACGGUCCAGACUCCUACGGGAGGCAGCAGUGGGGAAUUUUGGACAAUGGGCGCAAGCCUGAUCCAGCCAUGCCGCGUGAGUGAAGAAGGCCUUCGGGUUGUAAAGCUCUUUCAGCCGGAAAGAAAACGCAUGGGCUAAUACCUUGUGUGGAUGACGGUACCGGAAGAAGAAGCACCGGCUAACUACGUGCCAGCAGCCGCGGUAAUACGUAGGGUGCGAGCGUUAAUCGGAAUUACUGGGCGUAAAGCGUGCGCAGGCGGUUUUGUAAGACAGAUGUGAAAUCCCCGGGCUUAACCUGGGAACUGCAUUUGUGACUGCAAGGCUAGAGUACGGCAGAGGGGGGUAGAAUUCCACGUGUAGCAGUGAAAUGCGUAGAUAUGUGGAGGAAUACCGAUGGCGAAGGCAGCCCCCUGGGUCGAUACUGACGCUCAUGCACGAAAGCGUGGGGAGCAAACAGGAUUAGAUACCCUGGUAGUCCAUGCCCUAAACGAUGUCAACUAGGUGUUGGGGGAGGAGACUUCCUUAGUACCGCAGCUAACG
RNAcentral lists this ribosomal RNA (801 nucleotides) under uncultured bacterium. Its description in RNAcentral is "bacterial SSU rRNA". It matches the Rfam family "Bacterial small subunit ribosomal RNA", at positions 67 to 857 of the family's 1533-position model. The record is from RNAcentral.